Molecule: long non-coding RNA, 789 nt
Organism: Sturnus vulgaris (Common starling)
Lineage: Eukaryota; Metazoa; Chordata; Aves; Passeriformes; Sturnidae
Source: RefSeq, a predicted model, not a curated record
AACUGGCUUCUGAGUUUACAAUAGACUGGUCUGGACAAGAAGCACUACAGAUGAAUUUGGACUGGAGAUAGCUGGAUCUGAAGAGAUGAUCAUAGAAAUGUAAGUUUCUAGCUGUCCGCUGGAAUGACUUGGAGCAGUGAGAUGACAUUGGAAGAUACUGAUCAGAAAACUGGUCUCAGAUUUCAAGUCAGAAAAUGUCUCUGGAGAAUGGUUAAGAACAAGACCAGCAUUUUUUCCUUCAGGUCUUUUUCUUAGGGAAGAACUUUGGUGUGAGUAUUGUCUUCAUCCAUGGCAGCAUCUGAAAGAUUUUUGUGAAAUGUGUCAUUCUGAAUGAUGCCACUAUCUUGUAGCUUCAGUCAUGGACUUCAACCAAGAUUUACCACAACUGAUGUAUGGAAUAAACAGCUUCCAGCUAUAUUUAGAGGAGCAUUUUGAUACAUGUGAAGAAAAACACAGAUUAUAACAACACAACCCCAUGUAAAAUGGAUAACCCUUAUUUGUUCUAACUGAAACAAGCUGUUCUGCUAAACACCAAAUGUCUGCAAAACAGCUGAAGGUAAAUAUCUUAUUUACCUAUUAAGGUAAAUAUCUUGGUAUAUAAUCUCAUGUUUAAAGGGGAAUGUUAGUGUUUAGAAGAGGAAAUAAAAAUUCAAGAAGAUAAAUGACUUUAUUAGAGAAAAAUGUGCAGCUAAGAAGAAAAAUGGUUUAUUAAGCAAACAUUAUUGUUACAAAACUAGUAACUCUGAUACUAACAAAAAUAAACCAGUAACCAAAGAAACUAAAAUGGGA